Molecule: long non-coding RNA, 205 nt
Filed under: Mytilus galloprovincialis (Mediterranean mussel)
Lineage: Eukaryota; Metazoa; Mollusca; Bivalvia; Mytilida; Mytilidae
Source: RNAcentral
AAUCAUAAAUUGUUUUUGAGUUACGGCGCGACAUGUAAAAAAAACCCUCCCCUUUUUUACAAAAUACUCAAUAACUCAAAAAUAAAAUUUUGAGUCAUCACCAAAAAGUAUAUAGAUCUUUAGAUUAAUAUAACAAAGAAGUGUGUAAAGUUUUAAGCAAUAAUCAUAAAUCGUUUUUGAGAUACGGCACGACAUGUAAAAAACC